RNAcentral lists this unclassified non-coding RNA (303 nucleotides) under Hevea brasiliensis (rubber tree). The record is from RNAcentral. Lineage: Eukaryota; Viridiplantae; Streptophyta; Magnoliopsida; Malpighiales; Euphorbiaceae.
GAUGCUUCAGAGUAUUCAAAGACGGUGAAAAGAUGUAUGAACUUCUUGAUAGAUCCGUGGAGCGCAUUGGAGAGGCUAAUGUGAUUCAAGAAGUCACAGAUAUUGCUAGCAAUUGUGUGCUUGUAGGUAAUUAAGAGUUAAUUUUUAUUAUAAAAAUUAAAUUACAUUAAAGUAAAGCAUGUAUGUAAUAUUUAUGCUGUACUUAUUUUGAUUUUACGAAAGUUGUUAGAAGUUAAGCACCCGCAUUUGUAUUGGACUCCAAGUGCUACUCAUUGCAUGGAUUUGAUGCUAGAAGACAUUGGG